This 694-nucleotide ribosomal RNA is filed under the name uncultured bacterium. Its description in RNAcentral is "bacterial SSU rRNA". It matches the Rfam family "Bacterial small subunit ribosomal RNA", at positions 32 to 715 of the family's 1533-position model. The record is from RNAcentral.
AACGCUAGCUACAGGCUUAACACAUGCAAGUCGAGGGGCAGCAUGGUCUUAGCUUGCUAAGGCUGAUGGCGACCGGCGCACGGGUGAGUAACACGUAUCCAACCUGCCGUCUACUCUUGGGCAGCCUUCUGAAAGGAAGAUUAAUACAAGAUGGCAUCAUGAGUCCGCAUGUUCACAUGAUUAAAGGUAUUCCGGUAGACGAUGGGGAUGCGUUCCAUUAGAUAGUAGGCGGGGUAACGGCCCACCUAGUCUUCGAUGGAUAGGGGUUCUGAGAGGAAGGUCCCCCACAUUGGAACUGAGACACGGUCCAAACUCCUACGGGAGGCAGCAGUGAGGAAUAUUGGUCAAUGGGCGAGAGCCUGAACCAGCCAAGUAGCGUGAAGGAUGACUGCCCUAUGGGUUGUAAACUUCUUUUAUAAAGGAAUAAAGUCGGGUAUGCAUACCCGUUUGCAUGUACUUUAUGAAUAAGGAUCGGCUAACUCCGUGCCAGCAGCCGCGGUAAUACGGAGGAUCCGAGCGUUAUCCGGAUUUAUUGGGUUUAAAGGGAGCGUAGAUGGAUGUUUAAGUCAGUUGUGAAAGUUUGCGGCUCAACCGUAAAAUUGCAGUUGAUACUGGAUAUCUUGAGUGCAGUCGAGGCAGGCGGAAUUCGUGGUGUAGCGGUGAAAUGCUUAGAUAUCACGAAGAACUCCGAUUG